This 825-nucleotide long non-coding RNA is filed under the name Vitis vinifera (wine grape). RNAcentral describes it as "long non-coding RNA (VVIN_LNC000838)". Lineage: Eukaryota; Viridiplantae; Streptophyta; Magnoliopsida; Vitales; Vitaceae. The record is from RNAcentral.
CUGUCGCUGAGAAGACAAUAUGCGCUAUCUCAGCAUCACACAGUGUUGAGAGCUCCUGUGCUUUCUUAAAAAGCCCUCUUCUCCUCUUUGAGAAGGUCACUUGCCUUGCUGCUGUGUUGUCAAUCUUCUUGAUCCGAAUCUUCUGCCGCGACAUUGGAAAAUUUUCAACCAAACCUUCACAGAAAAAAUCAACACAACUCCGUAUCAGACCAAAGAACCAUUUUACUCCUUAUAUGUAGAGAGAGAGAGAAGGAGAGAACAAAUAAGGAAAAAAAGUCAGACCCUUCACAGAUCAAACUGGUACUUCAAAGAGAAUUCAAUAGAGGGAGAGAGAGAGAAAUGGGGUUCAUAUAUCUAUGUAUAAAAAGAAGGAAUGGGAGAGAUGAGAAAACUAACCUUGAGCUUGAAUACUCAAAGAACUUUCCUGCUGCUGAGAAGACAAUAUGCGCUAUCUCAGCAUCACACAGUGUUGAGAGCUCCUGUGCUUUCUUAAAAAGCCCUCUUCUCCUCUUUGAGAAGGUCACUUGCCUUGCUGCUGUGUUGUCAAUCUUCUUGAUCUGAAUCUUCUGCCGCGACAUUGGAAAAUUUUCAACCAAACCCUUCACAGAAAAAAUCAACACAACUCCGUAUCAGACCAAAGAACCAUUUUACUCCUUAUAUGUAGAGAGAGAGACGGAGAAAACAAAUAAGGAAAAAAUCAGACGCUUCACUGAUCACACUGGUACUUCAAAGAGAAUUCAAUAGAGGGUGAGAGAGAGAAAGGGGAUUUGGAAAGAGAGAAAAAAAAUGUGGGUGUGAGAUAAGAGAAAAAAUAAACAAACGACC